CCUAUAUUACUCCACAAUCAAAGAUCAAAUUUUGUUCAUUCAUAUUCAUCUUCAACCCUUGUGUUCUUCAAAUUUUCAAGGAUUUUCACUUAUACUUUGGUGAUUAAUUAUUGUCAAGGCUUGUUAAAAUCCUACAAACCAUUUGCCAUUGAUGUUCGAAGCAUCUCAAAUUAUUAGGAGAAGGAUCGUUUGAGAACAACGAUAUCGUGUUCAAGUCAUUCGUUGAUACAAGUUCGUGAUUGUCUUGUUCUUGGUAUUGCCGGUUCGUGUUUCAUGAUUUCUACUCCAAUCCAGUGAAAUUUAUCCAACGAAAUGUAUUUUGGAAUACUGAUAUUUUUGGAAAAUGUAUAGUUAAAAAAGAAGAAAUUUUUUUGAUUCCACGUAUAAUAUUAUUUUAUUGAGAAAUGUAUUAUUGAAAAGAAGAAAAGGAAAGGGCAUUAAUGGAGCCCAAACAGCUAAUUAGCACUCACAUCCCUACCACCUGGACAGCUUGCAAACCAAAUCUGAUGUCCUCGGAUCACCAAACCAUUACCAGAAAGAGGAAUGAGCAAGACGUUACACCCACAAGCUAAAAAUCUGGAGACAUUAAGGUCAAACUCUAUAUCCAGCGGAAAACAUACACCUCACCUAACCCAGAUUGCAGCCCAGAAGAGGUUUAAAACUAUAGAAAAAUCACUCAACUACACUUGUGAUGCUGCUAGAGUAAUAAAUUCCAGAUAAGAUUUAAAGAGCUUAAGAAAGUCUUCAUUUAUGUAUUAUUAUUUUAUUAACUAAUAAUAUCAUAACAUUUCUUCAAGGCCUGCUUUUUCCACACAGAGCAGUGUGUUUAAGAUAGAAUUAAUCAGCCUCCCAUCAGUCAAGGACAUGCAAGUUGCCAGUCAGAUUGAAAUUAUGGAUGGAGUGGCCAAAACCAUGGAGUUUUUUCAAGUGCAAUAUUUGUGAGGGGUGAGCACCAUGUAGAUGUAGAUGCAACAUGAAAUGUAAGAUCCUGUCCUCCCUGAAAUCAGAAUAUAUAAAAAGCAUGUUUGGCUAUGCUUAUAAAUUGCUAUUAUCCUACAAGGUGCUUAUAGCACCUUAUAACCUUAGACAAGCAUGCUAUCUGCAGGGAGUUUCUUUCCCAUUUAUUAAGUUUAAUGAUGAAUAAGUAUCUGUUUGUUGGUCAUCUGAACAUUUUUCGAAUUUUCAAUCUCUCAAAUUCUCACUCAAAGUAUCCUCCCUGUAAAGCUUAUGAUAU
RNAcentral lists this long non-coding RNA (1234 nucleotides) under Olea europaea subsp. europaea. The record is from RNAcentral. Lineage: Eukaryota; Viridiplantae; Streptophyta; Magnoliopsida; Lamiales; Oleaceae.